RNAcentral lists this ribosomal RNA (253 nucleotides) under uncultured bacterium. Its description in RNAcentral is "partial 16S ribosomal RNA". It matches the Rfam family "Bacterial small subunit ribosomal RNA", at positions 524 to 776 of the family's 1533-position model. The record is from RNAcentral.
UACGGAGGGUGCGAGCGUUGUCCGGAAUCACUGGGCGUAAAGGGCGCGUAGGUGGCGCGGGCAGUCAACGGUGAAAGUUCGGGGCUCAACCCUGAAUCGGCCGUCGAUACUCCCGGGCUUGAGCACUGUAGAGGCAGAUGGAAUUCCGGGUGUAGCGGUGGAAUGCGUAGAGAUCCGGAAGAACACCGGUGGCGAAGGCGGUCUGCCGGGCAGUAGCUGACACUGAGGCGCGACAGCGUGGGGAGCAAACAGG